This 439-nucleotide ribosomal RNA is filed under the name uncultured bacterium. RNAcentral describes it as "partial 16S ribosomal RNA". It matches the Rfam family "Bacterial small subunit ribosomal RNA", at positions 29 to 523 of the family's 1533-position model. The record is from RNAcentral.
AACGAACGCUGGCGGCAGGCCUAACACAUGCAAGUCGAACGACAUAGUGGCAGACGGGUGAGUAACGCGUGGGAACGUACCCCAAGGUACGGAAUAGCUGUUGGAAACGACAGGUAAUACCGUAUGUGACCGUGAGGUGAAAGAUUUAUCGCCUUGGGAUCGGCCCGCGUUAGAUUAGCUUGUUGGUGAGGUAAUGGCUCACCAAGGCGACGAUCUAUAGCUGGUUUGAGAGAACGACCAGCCACACUGGGACUGAGACACGGCCCAGACUCCUACGGGAGGCAGCAGUGGGGAAUCUUGCACAAUGGGCGAAAGCCUGAUGCAGCCAUGCCGCGUGAAUGAUGAAGGCCUUAGGGUUGUAAAAUUCUUUCACCAGGGAAGAUAAUGACUGUACCUGGAGAAGAAGCCCCGGCUAACUUCGUGCCAGCAGCCGCCGCCG